GACGAACGCUGGCGGCGCGCCUAACACAUGCAAGUCGAACGAGCGAGAGAGAGCUUGCUUUCUUGAGCGAGUGGCGAACGGGUGAGUAACGCGUGAGGAACCUGCCUCAAAGAGGGGGACAACAGUUGGAAACGACUGCUAAUACCGCAUAAGCCCACGACCCGGCAUCGGGAAGAGGGAAAAGGAGCAAUCCGCUUUGAGAUGGCCUCGCGUCCGAUUAGCUAGUUGGUGAGGUAACGGCCCACCAAGGCAACGAUCGGUAGCCGGACUGAGAGGUUGAACGGCCACAUUGGGACUGAGACACGGCCCAGACUCCUACGGGAGGCAGCAGUGGGGAAUAUUGCACAAUGGGGGAAACCCUGAUGCAGCGACGCCGCGUGGAGGAAGAAGGUCUUCGGAUUGUAAACUCCUGUUGUUGAGGAAGAUAAUGACGGUACUCAACAAGGAAGUGACGG
This 455-nucleotide ribosomal RNA is filed under the name uncultured bacterium. RNAcentral describes it as "bacterial SSU rRNA". It matches the Rfam family "Bacterial small subunit ribosomal RNA", at positions 28 to 496 of the family's 1533-position model. The record is from RNAcentral.